CCGGGCGACCUACCCAUGAGCAGGAUGAAGCGAAAGUAAAAUUUCGUGGAGGUCCGAACCCACGAGCGUUGAACAGCUCGGGGAUGACUUGUGGGUAGCGGUGAAAUUCCAAUCGAGCCCGGAGAUAGCUGGUUCUCCCCGAAAUAGCUUUAGGGCUAGCCUCAAGGUGAGAGAUACGGAGGUAGAGCACUGAAUGUCCUA
Molecule: ribosomal RNA, 201 nt
Filed under: Clostridioides difficile
Lineage: Bacteria; Bacillati; Bacillota; Clostridia; Peptostreptococcales; Peptostreptococcaceae
Description: partial 23S ribosomal RNA
Rfam family: Bacterial large subunit ribosomal RNA
Source: RNAcentral